RNAcentral lists this ribosomal RNA (292 nucleotides) under uncultured bacterium. Its description in RNAcentral is "partial 16S ribosomal RNA". It matches the Rfam family "Bacterial small subunit ribosomal RNA", at positions 505 to 796 of the family's 1533-position model. The record is from RNAcentral.
GUGUCAGCAGCCGCGGUAAUACAGAGGUCUCAAGCGUUGUUCGGAAUUAUUGGGCGUAAAGGGUGCGUAGGCGGUUCGGUCAGUUGGGUGUGAAAAGUCGAGGCUCAACCUCGAAAUUGCACCCAAUACUACCGGGCUAGAGUACUGCAUAGGAAGCUGGAACUUACGGUGUAGCAGUGAAAUGCGUAGAUAUCGUAAAGAAGACCAGAGGCGAAAGCGAGCUUCUAGGCAGUUACUGACGCUCAUGCACGAAAGCCAAGGUAGCAAACGGGAUUAGAAACCCCUGUAGUCC